Molecule: microRNA precursor, 77 nt
Filed under: Asparagus officinalis (garden asparagus)
Lineage: Eukaryota; Viridiplantae; Streptophyta; Magnoliopsida; Asparagales; Asparagaceae
Description: miR12138 stem-loop (aof-MIR12138)
Source: miRBase by way of RNAcentral
GUGUGAGCAUGGGGGAAGCAUGGGUGAGCAUGGGAGUAGCAUGGGGUUCCACCAUCUCGUGUCCCCCCAUCCUACGU